This is a long non-coding RNA of Pecten maximus, 780 nucleotides long. RefSeq lists it as uncharacterized. The record is from RefSeq and is a predicted model, not a curated record. The transcript is spliced from 5 exons. Lineage: Eukaryota; Metazoa; Mollusca; Bivalvia; Pectinida; Pectinidae.
AACACCACAUAAUCAAUUUGACGAUAAUAAAUAUAUUUCUAUUUCCGAUAGCGUAGGGGGCCAACCGAUUUACUUACUUCCGGAUUUAUGUAUCUUCGUUGGUAAAUUUUAAUUGAAAGUGUGUUUUUGUGAUAAUUGGACUCUAAUGACGAAGUAACGGAUAGUGUGACAUUUCAUUACAGUUAUGAGCUUAUUAUGCAUUGAUGAGGGACGCAAUCGCGUUGAAGAUUUUUCAACAACAUGAUCUCAGGGAAAAGAUGGUGACAGGAAAGCUGUUUAUGAAGUUGCAUAUGAGGGGGAGGCAGCUUCCAGCACAGUAUCAAAUUUGCAGCAAGACUUGGACAAAGGUUCCCUGAAGUUUAUAGAUAUUUAGUCAGCCAGUCGCCUAUCCAGUCAGUCACCACUGCAGUGAGCCACCUCUCCAGUAGUGUACACAGCCACCAGUGCAUCAAAUGUAGACAGUGAGUCCGGCAUUAAGUCAGUCAUCAAUCGAUCAGUCCAGUAGCCAACCAGUCAAAUCUGCUAUCAACUAAUCAAAUGUACACAUGGACUCGGCCAUCAGUCAGCCACUAGUCACCAGUACAGCCACCAGUGACCAGUAUGUCACCAUUCAACAGUAUGUCAUGAUCAGUCACCAGUCCAAUUACCAACAUUGUCACCAGUUCAGUUACCAGUUGCUAGGCACCAGUCCAGUUACCAGUCAUCAGUCCAGUUACCAGUCACUAGUCCAGUUACUAGUCACCAGUCCAGUUACCAGUCAUCAGUCCAGUCACAAGGCAC